GAGUUUGAUCCUGGCUCAGAGCGAACGCUGGCGGCAGGCCUAACACAUGCAAGUCGAACGCCCCUUCGGGGGAGUGGCGGACGGGUGAGUAACGCGUGGGAAUGUGCCCUUUGGUACGGAACAACUGAGGGAAACUUCAGCUAAUACCGUAUGUACCCUUCGGGGGAAAGAUUUAUCGCCAUUGGAGCAGCCCGCGUUGGAUUAGGUAGUUGGUGGGGUAAAGGCCUACCAAGCCUACGAUCCAUAGCUGGUCUGAGAGGAUGAUCAGCCACACUGGGACUGAGACACGGCCCAGACUCCUACGGGAGGCAGCAGUGGGGAAUCUUGCGCAAUGGGCGAAAGCCUGACGCAGCCAUGCCGCGUGUAUGAUGAAGGUCUUAGGAUUGUAAAAUACUUUCACCGGGGAAGAUAAUGACGGUACCCGGAGAAGAAGCCCCGGCUAACUUCGUGCCAGCAGCCGCGGUAAUACG
Molecule: ribosomal RNA, 470 nt
Filed under: uncultured eubacterium WR883
Lineage: Bacteria
Description: bacterial SSU rRNA
Rfam family: Bacterial small subunit ribosomal RNA
Source: RNAcentral